Unclassified non-coding RNA from Macaca mulatta (Rhesus monkey), 117 nucleotides. It matches the Rfam family "Metazoan signal recognition particle RNA". Rfam says of the family: The signal recognition particle (SRP) is a universally conserved ribonucleoprotein. It is involved in the co-translational targeting of proteins to membranes. Lineage: Eukaryota; Metazoa; Chordata; Mammalia; Primates; Cercopithecidae. The record is from Ensembl.
GCCGGGUGUGGUGGCUCGUGCCUGUAAUCCCAGCCCUUUGGGAGGCAAAGGUAGGGGGAUCACUUGAGCCCAGGAGUUCAAGACCAGCCUGGGCAAUAUAGUGAGACCCUGUCUCUA